RNAcentral lists this long non-coding RNA (579 nucleotides) under Elaeis guineensis (African oil palm). RNAcentral describes it as "long non-coding RNA (EGUI_LNC052993)". Lineage: Eukaryota; Viridiplantae; Streptophyta; Magnoliopsida; Arecales; Arecaceae. The record is from RNAcentral.
UGAAAUGUUAUGGUAUGUCGAUUUAUGCGCAUGUUCAGUGAAAAAUUAUGAUAUAUUAUGAUACAAAGUGUUUUGAUACAGAUCGGAUUUAUGCUCUUAGCCUAAUUAUGUUUCAGUGGGCCCUGCCAAUGGGGAUUAUACGUUGGUACUCAGUGGACCCUGCCAGUGGGGGUUGUGCACUGGUAUUUGUGGAUCCUGCCAGUGGGGGUUGUGCGCUGGUGUUUGUGGACCCUGCCAGUGGGGGUUGUGCGCUGGUAUUCUAUAGACCCCGCCAGUGGGGGUUAAAUGUUGGUCAUAGUCAAGGCUGUUGAGUUACGAGUGUUUUGAAUCGAAUCGGAUUUAUGAUUAUGUUAUAUGUGAAUAUUUGAAAAUAUUUGAUUUGUAUUAAAUCAGCAUGAAAUAUACUCUUAUAUUUAUUUGCAACAUUAUUCUUGAAAAUUAUAUAAUAUCUGAAUUAUCUAGUUGAGAUAUUUGUUACUUACUGGGCUGUCUAGCUCAUUACCUUUCUUUCUAUUUUUCAGAUUCAGAUAAUUAAUUUCGAGCGUGAGAAGAAAUAUUGGGACAGAGCUUUUAGAGGCG